RNAcentral lists this transfer RNA (88 nucleotides) under Acidobacteriota bacterium. RNAcentral's name for it is "Acidobacteria bacterium tRNA-Leu". It matches the Rfam family "tRNA". Rfam says of the family: Transfer RNA (tRNA) molecules are approximately 80 nucleotides in length. Lineage: Bacteria; Pseudomonadati; Acidobacteriota. The record is from RNAcentral.
GCCGGGGUGGCGGAACUGGUAGACGCAGGGGACUUAAAAUCCCCUGAGGCUUUGCCUCAUGCGGGUUCAACUCCCGCCCCCGGCACCA